RNAcentral lists this long non-coding RNA (491 nucleotides) under Mus spicilegus (steppe mouse). Its description in RNAcentral is "lncRNA (ENSMSIG00000023955.1)". The record is from RNAcentral. Lineage: Eukaryota; Metazoa; Chordata; Mammalia; Rodentia; Muridae.
AAGACAUAGUGAAGUUCAGGGUGAUGGAGUUUAUACAGAGACUCCUCAUGUCUUGAUGAAUCAGCGAGUGGACAGUGGAAAACACUGGACUCAUUGGCCUUUCUCUAUUUUGCCUCUUUUAUUUUAGGUCCCCAGCCCAAGUGACACAGUCGGUGUGUGGCUCUGGUCACAGCUGCCUGAGAUGUGAAGUCGAGUACUAAAGGGGUCAGUGAGAGAUCUCAAGGGGUGUGGCUCACUAGCAUCUGCCCCCAAGGACAAAGGACAAAAAUGAAGAAUGAAGUUUAUAAUCUGUACUGAAGUAUGUACCAGGUCAGGUGCUGAAGAUGCACACAUGGCUGGAGGCAGGGGAGAAACUGGGACAAGUUUAACACAAAUUGAGUUCAUAUUGUUGUCAUGGUUUUCAUCCUGCCUCAAGGCCAGCUCAUAUAAGGUAGGUUUGAUGUGAAUGUGAUUAGUGAUUGGCUCCAGGACACAGCUUUCAGCCCCUCCUG